This 495-nucleotide ribosomal RNA is filed under the name Pseudomonas sp. RNAcentral's name for it is "bacterial SSU rRNA". It matches the Rfam family "Bacterial small subunit ribosomal RNA", at positions 22 to 512 of the family's 1533-position model. Lineage: Bacteria; Pseudomonadati; Pseudomonadota; Gammaproteobacteria; Pseudomonadales; Pseudomonadaceae. The record is from RNAcentral.
GCUCAGAUUGAACGCUGGCGGCAGGCCUAACACAUGCAAGUCGAGCGGAUGAGAAGAGCUUGCUCUUCGAUUCAGCGGCGGACGGGUGAGUAAUGCCUAGGAAUCUGCCUGGUAGUGGGGGACAACGUUUCGAAAGGAACGCUAAUACCGCAUACGUCCUACGGGAGAAAGCAGGGGACCUUCGGGCCUUGCGCUAUCAGAUGAGCCUAGGUCGGAUUAGCUAGUUGGUGGGGUAAUGGCUCACCAAGGCGACGAUCCGUAACUGGUCUGAGAGGAUGAUCAGUCACACUGGAACUGAGACACGGUCCAGACUCCUACGGGAGGCAGCAGUGGGGAAUAUUGGACAAUGGGCGAAAGCCUGAUCCAGCCAUGCCGCGUGUGUGAAGAAGGUCUUCGGAUUGUAAAGCACUUUAAGUUGGGAGGAAGGGCAUUAACCUAAUACGUUAGUGUUUUGACGUUACCGACAGAAUAAGCACCGGCUAACUCUGUGCCAGC